This 444-nucleotide ribosomal RNA is filed under the name uncultured bacterium. RNAcentral's name for it is "bacterial SSU rRNA". It matches the Rfam family "Bacterial small subunit ribosomal RNA", at positions 337 to 796 of the family's 1533-position model. The record is from RNAcentral.
UCCUACGGGGGGCAGCAGUGGGGAAUCUUGCACAAUGGGGGAAACCCUGAUGCAGCGACGCCGCGUGGAGGACGAAGGAUCUAGGUCUGUAAACUCCUUUUUCACGGAAAGACUUAGGACGGUACCGUGAGAAUAAGCCCCGGCUAACUACGUGCCAGCAGCCGCGGUAAGACGUAGGGGGCGAGCGUUGUCCGGAUUUACUGGGCGUAAAGAGCGCGUAGGCGGCUCGUUAAGUGUGAAGUGAAAUCUCCAGGGCUCAACCCGGAAACUGCUUCGCAUACUGGCGAGCUUGAGGAAUGCAGAGGUAAGUAGAAUUCCUGGUGUAGCGGUGAAAUGCGUAGAUAUCAGGAGGAAUACCGACGGCGAAGGCAGCUUACUGGGCAUUAUCUGACGCUGAGGCGCGAAAGCGUGGGUAGCAAACAGGAUUAGAUACCCCAGUAGUCC